Molecule: long non-coding RNA, 8228 nt
Filed under: Brassica napus (rape)
Lineage: Eukaryota; Viridiplantae; Streptophyta; Magnoliopsida; Brassicales; Brassicaceae
Description: long non-coding RNA (BNAP_LNC000685)
Source: RNAcentral
GAGUGGAGACUAUUCGGAAGCACCUGUGUACUCUAUAUUCUCAUUGUUCAGUACUUGGUAUGGACUUCAAUGAGGUUGUUAGCCAAGUCAAUCCCACAUUAACUGAUCCAGAGGGACCAAGAAGCUUAAGUGAUCAUACCAUUGACACCUUGGAUGCUGCAGUUCAAAAGCUGAGGGAAGUUAAGAUACAGAGAAUGCAGAAGGUAAAUGAUAUAAUUGCUUUUGCGAGUUUUAUCUAGAUAGUGUCUUUGAUGUUGUUGUCACUCAUAGUUGCUUACUGGAUUCUUAUGAAGCUUCAAGAUCUAGCAACAACCAUGUUAGAGCUCUGGAAUUUGAUGGAUACACCCAUAGAAGAGCAGCAAGAGUAUCAGCACAUUACCUGCAAUAUAGCUGCAUCAGAACAUGAAAUAACUCAAGCCAAUAGUCUCUCUCAAGACUUCAUCAAAUACGUAAGCUGUUGAAAAACUUUCAUGGUUACACUGUUGUAUAACAACACUAUAAUCAAGCUUACAAGUAAAUGGAAGUUUCUUUUUAUGUUCAUGUCUGUAAACCUUAACGUGAGUUCCAUUGCCAUAUACAGGUCGAGGCAGAAGUUGUCCGAUUGGGCGAGGUAAAGGCAAGCAAAAUGAAAGAACUUGUUGUGAAGAAGAGAUCAGAGCUAGAGGAGAUAUGUAGGAAAACCCACAUGUUACCAGUUUCAGAUAGUGCUAUGGAUCAGACUAUAGUAGCCAUAGAAUCUGGUAUUGUGGACGCCACAUUGGUCCUGGAGCAUCUUGAGCAACAUAUAUCUAAGGUCAAAGAGGAAGCUUUAAGUAGGAAGGAGAUACUUGAGAAGGUCGAGAAAUGGUUGUCUGCCUGCGAUGAGGAAAGCUGGCUUGAAGAAUACAACAGGGUUAGAGCCGCGGAAUCACAAACAGUUAUAAAGUCACAAAGUUCGUUACAUUUUUUUCUGAUAUUUUCUGUUUAUUUUUCCACUCUACAGGACGAUAACAGAUACAAUGCUGGACGAGGAGCUCAUCUAACUCUCAAGCGUGCUGAGAAAGCUCGUAAUCUUGUUAACAAACUUCCAGGUAAGUUACUCUUUGUUAAUCAACAUAUCACAAAUGUUUAUGCUCUGAAUAGAUUAUGAUGGUAAUAAUGUCUUUUCAUCUUCAUUCAUCCAGUAAUGGUAGAAGCACUGGCUUCGAAGACAAUAGUUUGGGAACAAGAGAAGGGAAUUGAAUUCCUCUAUGAUGGUGUAUGACUUCUCUAUAAAUUCUCAGUUGACAAUUAUUCAUAAUGUCAUCGCUGACCAUUUGUAGUCCUCUGUUUCUGUGUCUAGAUUCGUCUUUUGUCCAUGCUUGAGGAGUAUAACUUACUGAGGCAGGAAAGAGAAGAAGAACACCGUCGCCAACGAGUAUGUACUUCACUUCGUUUCAAUCAGAAACUCUUGGCCAGUACUAUCUUCUUAAACUAACUCCAUGUUUUCUGCAUAUUAAAGGAUCAUAAGAAGCUCCAAGGACAGCUCAUAGCAGAACAAGAGGCGCUCUAUGGAUCAAAACCGAGCCCAUCAAAACCCCUUGGUGGCAAAAAGGCUCCAAGAAUGUCAACCGGUGGUGCCGCAACCAACCGAAGACUCUCCUUAGGAGCAGGGAUGCAUCAGACUCCUAAACCUAACAAGAAAGCAGAUCAACGCCAAGCCGAUGGAGCUUUAUCAACUGGUAAUCUUUUGUCUUAACAAUAAAAAUGGAACUAAGUUGCUUAUCCAUAGUGUUGGGUGCUUCUCUUAAUUGCAUUGAUCUCCUGCAGGAAGGAGAGGGCUCGAUGUUGCUGGACUUCCCUCGAGGAAACAGUCAAUGAAUCCUUGUGAACAGCUACAGUCUCCGCUAGUUCGUAAACCAUUCUCACCCAUCUCGACCACGGUGGUUGCAUCAAAGGCCAACAUAGCAACGCCACAGCAACUUGUUCCAAUCUCGAAAAGCAACGCAGUGAACGAGAUAUCCUCAUUUGCAACUCCGGUCAAGAACAACAACAUUAUCAAGAAUUUGGAAGAGGAGAAGAUGAUGAUGAUGAUGAUGAUGCAAACACCAAAGAAUGUAGCAGCGAUGAUUCCGAUCCCAUCAACACCAGCAACAAUCUCUGUCCCCAUGCAAACUGCACCAACCCCACUCCACAACAACAACGAUGCAAGAUUUCUCCCUGAAAAGGCUGAAGUUAUUGAGUACUCCUUUGAGGAACGAAGACUCGCCUUCAUGCUACAAUCUGAGUCUCCGAUCCACGUCUGAUUUCAAUCUGUCUUUUAGAAAACAAAACUUAAAUUGUUUGUGGUUUGGUUUGUAAAAGGUCAAUUAUAUGAUUGGCUAUUUUUUCUCUUNNNNNNNNNNNNNNNNNNNNNNNNNNNNNNNNNNNNNNNNNNNNNNNNNNNNNNNNNNNNNNNNNNNNNNNNNNNNNNNNNNNNNNNNNNNNNNNNNNNNUGUGUACGUAAAAUAUUUUCUUUUUAGCAUAUCUUAAGUAAAACUUUCCGUAACGGUGUAGCAGGUAUCAGGGGCAUCAAAAUCAUGGAAUGGAAGCAGGACCAAGUGCAAGUAAUUACAUGUUGGGUUGGUUACCUUAUGACACCAGCUCUAUUUGAAUCUUUCUUCAAUUUUUGACAUUUUAUAUGAAAACUCUCUUCCCCUCUUAGCUACAUGGUGAUUGAUUACCUCGCUCUAUUAUCUCUGUCUUGUAUGCAUUUGUGUGUGUGUAAUGUUUAUUAUGCCCUUCUACAAUUAUUUUUUUUUUUGACACAUUACUCCCAAUGCUCCAACACCGUCACACUAAAAUCUUGAGUACAUGUAUACAUAUUCCCUUAUGGCUUCUAUAGUUAAAUUUGUGUUAAGUAGAGUAUAUGCUUCCAGCUCCAAAAUCUUUAUAAUUCCCAUUUUUGUGUUAUGUAGUAAGGGUAAGACUUUUGUGUAAAUAUAUAUUUUAACAAUGAACUAUAAUGUACAGUGGACAGAGAGUAUAUCUCACACUAGCUUAUCCAGAGGCUCUUGUAUGUAUGCAAAUCAACAUGAAGUUGUUAACUGCCUGUCAAGGAGAAACCCAUUGGUUAGUUUAUCUAUAUAUAGGCCCACACCUGAUAUUAUUUGGGCUACUUCUUAUGCAAGACCGAAGGAGGACUCAUCUUCCAUGAACUUGCCAAAAAUUUCAGUAAACCGACGACCUUAGCCAAACCAAAAUCAGAAAAAAAAAUUUGAUUACAAGAAGAGAGUUAACUGCUAAGAGAAUUUAGAAGUAUAUAUGUUACAGUAAAUGAAGUAUCUGAUUCUUAGAGCACCAUUAACCUAGCACCCCACUUGGGGUGCUUAUUAUUUUAUUUUUUUUUAGUUUUUUGUCUGAUUUAAAAAAAAAAAAAAAAUUAAAAACGAGCCAAUCAUGAACCGCCACGUGUUAGUGGGGCCCGCGAAACAGUACAAGAUCCAACAAAACCCGACGCUUAAUCUGGCGUCUUUGACGUCGCUGCUUCGUCUUUUGCUGUGGAGCCCACCCUUUAGCACUUCUCCAAGCGUCCCCGUUAAUCCUGCUCUUAGGGUCUUUUUACCUAUUAAAUGAAACAUUUGGUCAUUUUCCUCCUUGUGGUCUAUUUUUGUGACCAAAACUUGAAAAUAUCUAUUUAGUAGAUUUACCCUUUUUAUAAACCAAAAACUUGAAAUUUUUUAAAAAAAGAACCAAAAUUAAAUCUAAAUCCAAAUUGAACACCUAAGAUCUCUUAUGGAGUUUUUAUAAUUUACUAUUUUUCCUCUUCAAACGAUAAUCGUUCAAGUGUUAAUGUAACAAAGUUGACAAACUAACACUUCAUAUCAUGGGCUUUUGGCUUGUGACAAUAUAUUUGGCCCCUGAUUUUAAUACAGAUUAUUACAGAACCAAAUCAUUAGCAAAAACAAAACAGAAGAGAAAUAUGCUUGAUACUUGAAGAAAAUCAAGACCACUAGAGAUUUGCAAAUUGGAACCCAGCUAGGCAGCAUCUCCAACAGGCCUUCCCAUUGCUGCAUGUUAAAGUAUGAAAAACUACAAAGAUAUAAUGAAAUAUGUUUCGAGUAUGUGUUGGAUACUGAUAUACCUUGAGACUUUUCACAUUGAUAUUAACUAAUGCAACUAAAACACACACAAGCUCACAGUCGCAUAUAUGAGAGAUGGGAUCUUAACCCUCGGCCCAAUGUGUUUCUUCGAGCAAUACUAAUAGCUUAAAGCCGCUUUUAUCAUACUCAAGAAUACGAAAACUCAGUUGUAACAUUAUGAAAACCAUCAUGUGAUAGAUAGCAUGAAGUAGAAAAUAUUCAGAGUUUGAUGCUUCUUCUAUAGAACAACAUAGUAGAGUGAGUAUCUUAACAAAUGCAGUAAUUACAUCCAAUAUUUAGUAAAGAGCUGUAGAUUCUUUCACCGUUGGUUACAAACUAAAUCAUCAUGCAACCAAUCAGAUACUUAUAACAUCAUUUACCAAGCAAGAGUUAUUCUAAAAUAGUGGCAAGACAAUCAUGGUUAAAAUUAGGCAAGAAUAUGAAAUAACAAUCAAAUAACCAUGUGACAGGUUUUGGGUAGAUGGUUCUUCCUCAUCCUUCUUAUGAUAAUGAUAGGCCCUGUUCGUUUCGUAAACUGGACGCGGCAUCCAGACGCAGACGCGGAUCGAUGUUCGUUUGGCGCGAAAUAGGAGGUUAAGUUGGACGCGGCAUCCAGAUUAAUUUUGAAAACUCAUCCGGAUUUUUCGGGAUUUCUGGAUGAGAUGUUUGAACGCUUCCAACUACAGCAAACUCAUCCAAAAGUGCUAAAAGUCGGUAAUACCCUUAUUUUAUUUUAAAAAUUAUAAAAGUUUUGCCAUUAAUUUUUUUUAACCUAGAUCGUCGUAUCUCUUCAUCCUCCUCUCUUCAACCUCAGAUCUCUGCAACCAUGAACCUCUGAUCUCUCUCAGCCCUCUCUCUCUGUCUCUCUCUCUCUCAGGCAGUCUCUCUCUCUCGAACCCAUCUCUCUCUCUCACAGAGUCUCUCUCUCGAACCCAUCUCUCUCUCACGCAGUCUCUCCCUCUCUCAAGCUCUAUUGGUAACUCUCUCUCCCCCUCUCUCUCUCUCUCUCUCGCUCUCUCUCUCUCUCUCUCUCUCUCUCUCUCUCUCUCUCUCUCUAGCAGAUUGAUUCUUUGUUUUCAGGUUGCUGGCUGAGGAAGACAUUGACUCACAUGUCGUUAUAAACGGAUUGGGCUUUUAUUGAUCAUGAACCGAUUUCCCUUGUGUUUUGCCUUGUUUAACUCAUGUCAAUAUCAAGGCACAUCAGACGUGGACUGAAGUCAAGCUCGACAAAUCUUCACCUUUUGAAUUCGGACGACCGAGAAACCCUCGUAACUGUCUCGCUUAUUUUCGUCAAAUCUCCACUUCUUCAUAAACCCUCAACACCGAAAAACCCUCACAAAUGUCUAGCUUAUCAUAGUGUCAUAAAGAUAUCAGUGACUUUUACCUCUUCGAUAAAAUUUAUUUUUAUCAUUUGAACUCUUGUCUACUAUAUUUGUGAUUAAAAAAAAUUGUAGGGUUAUCCUAUGGUAUUUUUCUUUUUAAAAUGUAUCUUAAUAAACUAACAUUUUGUAUGUUUAAUGAAAUAAUCAGAAAAUAGGAGAAUUUUCAUGUUUACUACUUUGUUGGUGUCAUUAUUUAUGUUUAUCAUAACUAAAGAAAUAUUUUCUUCAUUAAGAGGCAAAAAAUUCUUAUACCAUUACUCUCUAUAUAUAUAAUAUAUAAUUAUUUAAAUAAAUAAAAAUAAUUUUUAUGUUUUUGAAUUAUAGUUUUUCAAAAUCGAUUUUUUUAUUAUAUUUUUGUGAAAAAAAAUUUCAAAUUUUUUUUCAAAUUUUGUUUUCAAAAUUUCUUUUUGAAAUUCAAAAAGUAUUUUUGAAACUAUUUUUGAAAAAAUAAAAAAAUUUAUGUAUUUAUUUAUAUAUUUAUUAGAAUCCUAAAUUUUACAUUCCAAAAACCAUAUCCCAGCUCUCAACUCUAAACCAUCUAAUUCUAUAAUAGUAAAGUUAAUAUAAACACACAAAUAAAUCAAUGUAGAUUUUAACAUAUUUAAAUUUAAAAUUUAAUACUAUAAAAAAAACUAUCCAAUUAAUAUUAGCUGAUUUAAUUUUGAAAUAAACAGUUUCGAUAUAAUAAAUUAUAUUAUAUAUUUUAAUAGGUUAAAAACAUGAAAAAAUUAAAAUUGAGUUAAUGUGUACAUAACUUGAGCAAAUCUUCCAAAAUUUUUAGAGUAAUUGCCAAAAAUAAUACAUUCAUAAUACCAUUUUUAUGUUUAUACUAACCAUUUUUACUCUUAUUUUUAAAGAGAAAAUACAUUUAUAACCCUGACUUUCUAAUUUAUAAAAAUAUUUUAUUUGAUAUUUAUUUAUUUUAAUAUUAGUAUUUAUGUUUUCAAAAUAUAUAGAUAUAUAUACAUAUAUAUAUAUAUAUAUAUCAUACUAAUAUUAUUUUCACUGUAUAAAUCAACACAUAAUUAUAUUAUUUUAUAAAUAAUUUGCAAAUGUUAAUUUUAAGAAAAAUGAAAAUCUAAAAAAUAAUAAAAAAAAAUUUAUAUUAAAAAGCACAAUUAGCCAAUUAGGUCCGUAUUGUAUUUCUAAAUGAAUACAAAAACAUUUAUACUGUCCAAGAUAUUGUUUCCAUUUUGUUUUCAAUCGAAUGAGCGCUAAAGAUUUACAAUUUGACGGUUUAGAUUUAUUUGUCGAGUCGAAGCGCGAUGCACAUGAUUGGGACCCAAUAUUUGAAAUUCAAAAGCUCAAAAAGGAAUAAGAAAGAGCUGAUCCGGUAACGGACGGAAAUUCAAAAUCUAUUCUCACAUCGACCUUUAACAUCUUUCAACAACGGCUAUUUCUCUCUCUCUCUCUCUCUCUCUCUACAGAAACUUCGAUCUUGGGUUUCAAAUUGUUUCUCUAUUUCGAAAAUCCAAAAUCUGAUCGAUCUCCUUCCAAUCCAACCUAGUAGCAGCAGGAACAGAUCAAACUUCAAAUUGAGCAGCUCUGGAGAAAUCUCUAGUUUCAGGCAAGCCUUCUCUCUCAUUGAUUAAUUCUGAAAUCGAUUGCUUCCCAAUGUCAAAUCGACUCUACAUAGUUUAGUCGAUUCGAUUGGUUGAUUGAGAUAUGUAUGGGAAUCGCUAGCGAAUCUCCAGUUUCCUUUUUGGGAAUGACAUAGUUAGUUAAGGUUUCCUUUACAGGCAGAAGAAGCAUUUCGAAAUGGCAAAAGAUCCGAUUCUUCAAGUAGAAACAACCUGUGGAUCUCUCCUUUACGAACUUCAGGUGGUGUGAGUUUGAUCAAUUAAAAAAGAAAAAAGACUAUUUUGUCUUUCGUAUCAUUAUUAUCUGUAUUAUUAAGAUCUUGUUUUGUUUAUGUUUCUUAAAAAAAAAAAAAAACAGAUUAUUUGGGAUGAAGUUGGAGAAACUGAAACUGAUAGAGAUAAAAUGCUGCUUGAGCUUGAACGUGAAUGCUUGGAAGUUUACCGAAGAAAAGUUGACCAAGCUAAUGGAUGCAGAGCUCAGCUAAGACAAGCUAUUGCUGAUGCUGAAGCAGAGCUUGCUGCCAUCUGUUCUGCAAUGGGGGAGCGCCCUGUGCAUAUUAGACAGGUGAGUAGCGUAUCUGAUGAGGAUUAAGUGUUGAGGAAGGUUUGUCCAUGUUAACCUUCUUUCUUUUGUAUGUGUUUUAAGUCUGAUCAAAGCGUUGGGAGCUUGAAACAAGAGCUUGGGACGAUUCUUCCUGAAUUGGAAGAGAUGCAAAAGAGGAAAACCGAGAGAAGAAACCAGUUCCUAUUUGUCCUUGAAGAAAUUGAGAAUAUCACUAAUGAUAUCAAAGGUCAAGGAGAACUUGUUCUCCCCAAACCACCCAUCGAUGAGACCGACUUGUCUAUGAGAAAGCUUGAGGAGUUACACUGCCAUCUGCAAGCACUUCAGAAGGAGAAGGUGAAAUUUCAUUUGAACUUGGCUUCUUCUUUUCUUUUUCUUUUUUUUGGGUUAUCUGUUUAUUUACUUUGUUUCCUUCAGAGUGAUCGAGUGGAGACUAUUCGGAAGCACCUGUGUACUCUAUAUUCUCAUUGUUCAGUACUUGGUAUGGACUUCAAUGAGGUUGUUAGCCAAGUCAAUCCCACAUUAACUGAUCCAGAGGGACCAAGAAGCUUAAGUGAUCAUACCAUUGACACCUUGGAUGCUGCAGUUCAAAAGCUGAGGGAAGUUAAGAUACAGAGAAUGCAGA